Non-coding RNA from Pelobates cultripes (western spadefoot toad), 294 nucleotides. The record is from the annotation of a GenBank genome assembly. NCBI's taxonomy places the organism in Eukaryota, Metazoa, Chordata, Amphibia, Anura, Pelobatidae.
GUUGGUGUGUGCUAUUCCUGUACAAAGUUUUAUUUUGUGUUCAGUUACAUCUGCUGAGUAAAAUGACACCCCCAUUGUAUGUCUUUGGCACUAUUUCGUAAAGCUACAGUGCCAUAUAGGAGACCUGUCCUUUUCAGUACUCACAGUAGAAUUUUGAGAGACGGAUUUAAUGAGCCUAUGCUUCUGUUUGGGGUAUUAUAACAGUUUGACUGUUCAAAAAAAAAAACACAAAGGCCUACCAUUUGUAAAAGUAGACACUCCAGGGUAUCUCAUAAGGUGCAUAUUGUGCCUUAA